UUCCAGACUCCUACGGGAGGCAGCAGUGAGGAAUAUUGGUCAAUGGGCGAGAGCCUGAACCAGCCAAGUAGCGUGCAGGAAGACGGCCCUAUGGGUUGUAAACUGCUUUUGUAUGGGGAUAAAGUCAGUCACGUGUGAUUGUUUGCAGGUACCAUACGAAUAAGGACCGGCUAAUUCCGUGCCAGCAGCCGCGGUAAUACGGAAGGUCCGGGCGUUAUCCGGAUUUAUUGGGUUUAAAGGGAGCGUAGGCUGGAGAUUAAGUGUGUUGUGAAAUGUAGACGCUCAACGUCUGACUUGCAGCGCAUACUGGUUUCCUUGAGUACGCACAACGUUGGCGGAAUUCGUCGUGUAGCGGUGAAAUGCUUAGAUAUGACGAAGAACUCCGAUUGCGAAGGCAGCUGACGGGAGCGCAACUGACGCUGAAGCUCGAAGGUGCGGGUAUCGAACAGGAUUAGAUACCCUGGUAGUCCGCACAGUAAACGAUGGAUGCCCGCUGUUGGUACCUGGUAUCAGCGGCUAAGCGAAAGCAUUAAGCAUCCCACCUGGGGAGUACGCCGGCAACGGUGAAACUCAAAGGAAUUGACGGGGGCCCGCACAAG
Molecule: ribosomal RNA, 599 nt
Filed under: uncultured bacterium
Lineage: Bacteria
Description: bacterial SSU rRNA
Rfam family: Bacterial small subunit ribosomal RNA
Source: RNAcentral